Molecule: ribosomal RNA, 396 nt
Filed under: uncultured bacterium
Lineage: Bacteria
Description: partial 16S ribosomal RNA
Rfam family: Bacterial small subunit ribosomal RNA
Source: RNAcentral
AUACGUAGGGUGCGAGCGUUGUCCGGAAUUACUGGGUGUAAAGGGAGCGUAGGCGGGAUGGCAAGUCAGAUGUGAAAACUAUGGGCUCAACCCAUAGACUGCAUUUGAAACUGUUGUUCUUGAGUGAAGUAGAGGUAAGCGGAAUUCCUGGUGUAGCGGUGAAAUGCGUAGAUAUCAGGAGGAACAUCGGUGGCGAAGGCGGCUUACUGGGCUUUUACUGACGCUGAGGCUCGAAAGCGUGGGGAGCAAACAGGAUUAGAUACCCUGGUAGUCCACGCUGUAAACGAUGAUCACUAGGUGUGGGGGGACUGACCCCUUCCGUGCCGCAGUUAACACAAUAAGUGAUCCACCUGGGGAGUACGGCCGCAAGGUUGAAACUUAAAUGAAUUGACGGGG